This 719-nucleotide ribosomal RNA is filed under the name uncultured bacterium. RNAcentral describes it as "bacterial SSU rRNA". It matches the Rfam family "Bacterial small subunit ribosomal RNA", at positions 335 to 1046 of the family's 1533-position model. The record is from RNAcentral.
ACUCCUACGGGAGGCAGCAGUGGGGAAUUUUGGACAAUGGGCGCAAGCCUGAUCCAGCCAUGCCGCGUGCAGGAUGAAGGCCCUCGGGUUGUAAACUGCUUUUGUACGGAACGAAAAGCCUCUCUCUAAUAAAGGGAGGUGAUGACGGUACCGUAAGAAUAAGCACCGGCUAACUACGUGCCAGCAGCCGCGGUAAUACGUAGGGUGCAAGCGUUAAUCGGAAUUACUGGGCGUAAAGCGUGCGCAGGCGGUCUUGCAAGACAGUGGUGAAAUCCCCGGGCUCAACCUGGGAACUGCCAUUGUGACUGCAAGGCUGGAGUACGGCAGAGGGGGGUGGAAUUCCGCGUGUAGCAGUGAAAUGCGUAGAUAUGCGGAGGAACACCGAUGGCGAAGGCAGCCCCCUGGGCCUGUACUGACGCUCAUGCACGAAAGCGUGGGGAGCAAACAGGAUUAGAUACCCUGGUAGUCCACGCCCUAAACGAUGUCAACUGGUUGUUGGGGAUUCAUUUCUUCAGUAACGAAGCUAACGCGUGAAGUUGACCGCCUGGGGAGUACGGCCGCAAGGUUAAAACUCACAGGAAUUGACGGGGACCCGCACAAGCGGUGGAUGAUGUGGUUUAAUUCGAUGCAACGCGAAAAACCUUACCCACCUUUGACAUGGCAUGAACCCUUUAUAGAUACAUGGGUGCUCUAAACACAACCUGCAACAGCUGCUGCAU